RNAcentral lists this ribosomal RNA (561 nucleotides) under uncultured organism. RNAcentral's name for it is "SSU rRNA". It matches the Rfam family "Bacterial small subunit ribosomal RNA", at positions 28 to 558 of the family's 1533-position model. The record is from RNAcentral.
GACGAACGCUGGCGGCGUGCUUAACACAUGCAAGUCGAACGAAGAGCGAUGGAAGCUUGCUUCUAUCAAUCUUAGUGGCGAACGGGUGAGUAACGCGUAAUCAACCUGCCCUUCAGAGGGGGACAACAGCUGGAAACGACUGCUAAUACCGCAUACGAUCUAACCUCGGCAUCGAGGAUAGAUGAAAGGUGGCCUCUAUUUAUAAGCUAUCACUGAAGGAGGGGAUUGCGUCUGAUUAGCUAGUUGGAGGGGUAACGGCCCACCAAGGCGAUGAUCAGUAGCCGGUCUGAGAGGAUGAACGGCCACAUUGGGACUGAGACACGGCCCAGACUCCUACGGGAGGCAGCAGUGGGGAAUCUUCCGCAAUGGACGAAAGUCUGACGGAGCAACGCCGCGUGAGUGAUGACGGCCUUCGGGUUGUAAAGCUCUGUUAAUCGGGACGAAAGGCCUUCUUGCGAAUAGUUAGAAGGAUUGACGGUACCGGAAUAGAAAGCCACGGCUAACUACGUGCCAGCAGCCGCGGUAAUACGUAGGUGGCAAGCGUUGUCCGGAAUUAUUGGG